This 1137-nucleotide long non-coding RNA is filed under the name Mus pahari (shrew mouse). Its description in RNAcentral is "predicted gene, 44421 (MGP_PahariEiJ_G0005068.1)". Lineage: Eukaryota; Metazoa; Chordata; Mammalia; Rodentia; Muridae. The record is from RNAcentral.
GAUGGUCCUGGCUUUGGGAAGACCCAAAGAAACCCAGAGCACAGUCAGAGUGCCAGCACAGAUUGAAGGAGAGGUGUGAGGAGAAGUGCAGCGGCUGUAGGAGGGGGGAGAGGAGAGGGGGUGUGUCCUGUGAGUGCAUUGGGAGGGGCAAGAGAGAGGCUACUUGGCCCUUCCCCAGCACAGGUGGAGGAAGGAAAUAUGGAUAGCUGGGACAGAGUGGAGAUCAAUGCCAAUGGCUCCAAAUGCAGGGUGUGAUCACUACUGAAGCCAUGUCAGUUUGACAGAAGAAGGAGGACCACCCCGGGGCACCGCAGCAAGGUGUGGUUGGAAUAGCCUUCACCAGGGCUCCCAGGGCCACUCUCGCCAAUGGUUGACAGAGUAGCUCUGACUCACUGGGGAUGAUGGUGUUCCUCCCAGCCUAACAGAUCCCUAAGCUGGGCCUUUCUCCCUUUCUCUUUCCCCUCCUGGCCAUCCUGACUCGAUGGGAAGUCUGGGUCCAUGGCUGAAGAUCCCAACACUACAUUGUGAGCUGAGGAUGUCCCAGACAGUUGCCAAAGUAGAGUGGGCUGGGUCCCUUUCCCAGGCCCUAUGUUAGAAAUGAGCUUUAUUAAUUUAUUUUUGCUAUUACUUAUUAUGUGUCUAUGGGGCACACGUGACAUUGUACAUCUAUGGAGGUCGGAGAACACUUUGUGAGAGUCAGUUCUCAACUACCAGGUGAGUUCCAGGGAUUGGUGGCAGUCAGGCUUGGUAGCAAGCACUCUUACCUGCUGACCCAUCUCAGCAGCCCUCAAAGAUAUUUUCAGUGUGACUGUGCUGUCAUUAAAGGUUGCAUGUAGAAUCCAUGUGCUGUCAUUAAGAGUUGUGUAUAGAAUCCAUCACCUUUACUCUUUCUGAAAGAGUCAACUUCCCUGGAGGCCACCACUCAAAAUUUUUACUGUCCCAGACUCCAAUGGCUUCACUUGGUAUACACAUUUAAACAAUAUUAUGAAAGAUAUGGUGUCAUUAUAUUCUGCUUAUAAUUAAUAACACAUAACUAAUAUAAGGUAACACACAUGCCAAAAUUUAACUAUGUAUUAAUAUAUCACAAAAUACAUAAUAUGUAUAUUGAUAUAGUUGCAAUAAAAUAGUACAUAAUCC